UACGUAGGGUGCAAGCGUUUGUCCGGAAUUAUUGGGCGUAAAGAGCUCGUAGGCGGUUUGUCGCGUCUGCUGUGAAAACCCGAGGCUCAACCUCGGGCCUGCAGUGGGUACGGGCAGACUAGAGUGCGGUAGGGGAGAUUGGAAUUCCUGGUGUAGCGGUGGAAUGCGCAGAUAUCAGGAGGAACACCGAUGGCGAAGGCAGGUCUCUGGGCCACUACUGACGCUGAGAAGACGAAAGCAUGGGGAGCGAACAGG
This 255-nucleotide ribosomal RNA is filed under the name uncultured bacterium. RNAcentral describes it as "partial 16S ribosomal RNA". It matches the Rfam family "Bacterial small subunit ribosomal RNA", at positions 524 to 776 of the family's 1533-position model. The record is from RNAcentral.